GGAGAGGUGGCAGAGUGGUCGAAUGCGUCCGACUUGAAAUCGGAUGAGCCGCAAGGUUCCGUGGGUUCGAAUCCCACCCUCUCCGUCA
This 88-nucleotide transfer RNA is filed under the name Leptolyngbya sp. BL0902. RNAcentral's name for it is "tRNA-Ser". It matches the Rfam family "tRNA". From Rfam's summary of the family: Transfer RNA (tRNA) molecules are approximately 80 nucleotides in length. Their secondary structure includes four short double-helical elements and three loops (D, anti-codon, and T loops). The record is from RNAcentral. Lineage: Bacteria; Bacillati; Cyanobacteriota; Cyanophyceae; Leptolyngbyales; Leptolyngbyaceae.